Molecule: ribosomal RNA, 428 nt
Filed under: Clostridioides difficile
Lineage: Bacteria; Bacillati; Bacillota; Clostridia; Peptostreptococcales; Peptostreptococcaceae
Description: bacterial LSU rRNA
Rfam family: Bacterial large subunit ribosomal RNA
Source: RNAcentral
AGACAUACAGGUCGAGCAAGGAUGAAAAUCGGACUUAGUGAUCCGGUGGUUCUGCGUGGAAGGGCCAUCGCUCAACGGAUAAAAGCUACCCUGGGGAUAACAGGCUUAUCUCCCCCAAGAGUCCACAUCGACGGGGAGGUUUGGCACCUCGAUGUCGGCUCAUCACAUCCUGGGGCUGUAGUAGGUCCCAAGGGUUGGGCUGUUCGCCCAUUAAAGUGGUACGCGAGCUGGGUUCAGAACGUCGUGAGACAGUUCGGUCCCUAUCCGUCGCAGGCGUAGGAAAUUUGAGAAGACCUGUCCGUAGUACGAGAGGACCGGGAUGGACGUACCUCUGGUGUACCAGUUGUCCUGCCAAGGGCAUGGCUGGGUAGCUAUGUACGGAAUGGAUAAGCGCUGAAAGCAUCUAAGCGCGAAGCCAACUUCAAGAU